This 468-nucleotide ribosomal RNA is filed under the name uncultured bacterium. RNAcentral describes it as "partial 16S ribosomal RNA". It matches the Rfam family "Bacterial small subunit ribosomal RNA", at positions 28 to 507 of the family's 1533-position model. The record is from RNAcentral.
GACGAACGCUGGCGGCGUGCUUAACACGUGCAAGUCGAACGGAAAGGCCCUGCUUUUGUGGGGUGCUCGAGUGGCGAACGGGUGAGUAACACGUGAGUAACCUGCCCUUGACUUUGGGAUAACUUCAGGAAACUGGGGCUAAUACCGGAUAGGAGCUCCUGCUGCAUGGUGGGGGUUGGAAAGUUUCGGCGGUUGGAGAUGGACUCGCGGCUUAUCAGCUUGUUGGUGGGGUAGUGGCUUACCAAGGCUUUGACGGGUAGCCGGCCUGAGAGGGUGACCGGCCACAUUGGGACUGAGAUACGGCCCAGACUCCUACGGGAGGCAGCAGUGGGGAAUAUUGCACAAUGGGCGGAAGCCUGAUGCAGCAACGCCGCGUGCGGGAUGACGGCCUUCGGGUUGUAAACCGCUUUCGCCUGUGACGAAGCGUGAGUGACGGUAAUGGGUAAAGAAGCACCGGCUAACUACGUG